This 241-nucleotide ribosomal RNA is filed under the name uncultured bacterium. Its description in RNAcentral is "partial 16S ribosomal RNA". It matches the Rfam family "Bacterial small subunit ribosomal RNA", at positions 14 to 244 of the family's 1533-position model. The record is from RNAcentral.
GUAUCCUGGCUCAGGAUGAACGCUAGCUACAGGCUUAACACAUGCAAGUCGAGGGGAAACGAUAUUGGAAGCUUGCUUCCGAUAGGCGUCGACCGGCGCACGGGUGAGUAACGCGUAUCCAACCUGCCCACCACUUGGUGAUAACCUUGCGAAAGUAAGACUAAUACCCAAUGACGUCUCUAGAAGACAUCUGAAAGAGAUUAAAGAUUUAUCGGUGAUGGAUGGGGAUGCGUCUGAUUAG